RNAcentral lists this ribosomal RNA (253 nucleotides) under uncultured bacterium. RNAcentral describes it as "partial 16S ribosomal RNA". It matches the Rfam family "Bacterial small subunit ribosomal RNA", at positions 524 to 776 of the family's 1533-position model. The record is from RNAcentral.
UACGAAGGGAGCUAGCGUUGUUCGGAAUCACUGGGCGUAAAGCGCACGUAGGCGGAUCGUUUAGUCAGGGGUGAAAUCCCGGAGCUCAACUUCGGAACUGCCUUUGAUACUGGCGAUCUCGAGUCCGAUAGAGGUGGGUGGAAUUCCUAGUGUAGAGGUGAAAUUCGUAGAUAUUAGGAAGAACACCGGUGGCGAAGGCGGCCCACUGGAUCGGUACUAACGCUGAGGUGCGAAAGCGUGGGGAGCAAACAGG